GAAUCAGAGGACAAUCUGGCUGUGACAUCUGUAAUACCUCUGACCACCAGCACUGAUUCAGGUGAUCUGGCUAGAUAGGUGGGUGUACCCUGCCUUCUUCACUGCUCUAUGUGUGACCCUCCCUAGCUGCAGCUGAAGAACACAACCUCCAUCAACAUGGGACUUUCUUCAGUCAAGGCUAUAUGCGCAGCUGGGUUCCCCAGCUACAGGACAGGCCUCAGCAUCUUUCAGGUCUUGUUCCAAAAUUAGGGCUUGAUUAACAAAAUAAUUAUUAAGAUGAAGACAAAGGAAAGAGACAGAUACUUU
This 306-nucleotide small nuclear RNA is filed under the name Nannospalax galili (Upper Galilee mountains blind mole rat). Its description in RNAcentral is "7SK RNA (ENSNGAG00000005637.1)". It matches the Rfam family "7SK RNA". Rfam says of the family: 7SK was discovered as an abundant small nuclear RNA in the mid-70s but a possible function has only recently been suggested. Lineage: Eukaryota; Metazoa; Chordata; Mammalia; Rodentia; Spalacidae. The record is from Rfam by way of RNAcentral.